Non-coding RNA from Triticum urartu, 135 nucleotides. The record is from Rfam. NCBI's taxonomy places the organism in Eukaryota, Viridiplantae, Streptophyta, Magnoliopsida, Poales, Poaceae.
AACAUACUCCCUCCGUUCCGAAUUACUUGUCUUAGAUUUGUCUAAAUACGGAGGUAUCUAGCACUAAAAUGAGUGUAGAUACAUCCGUAUCUAGACAAAUCCAAGACAAGUAAUUCGGAACGGAGGGAGUAGAUC